Molecule: long non-coding RNA, 1388 nt
Organism: Solanum stenotomum
Lineage: Eukaryota; Viridiplantae; Streptophyta; Magnoliopsida; Solanales; Solanaceae
Exons: 6
Source: RefSeq, a predicted model, not a curated record
UCUUUUCUGUUUAUCUACAUCUCUGUCAACCUUUGCUGAAGAUUUCACUUUGUAUCCAACGACCUGCGCAAGUUCCUCUUCAUGGUUUAAGCAAAAUUUCAAUCACAACUCCAUCUCUUCUUUAUUGUUUGCUGUUUCUCUGCAACCUUUAAAUCUGUCUCUCAACCUUUGCUCAAGAUUUCUGUUUCUCUCGGACAACCUGCGCAGUUUGUCUCCACCCUUUACAUUUCUCUUUGAACGUUUGCUGAACAUUUCAGUUUCUAUCAAAUGACCUGUACAGCAAAUUGCCUGCAACUGAACAGUACAAAUCCCGCUGAUACAGAACAGGCUGCAGGAUCUGCAGGAACUUCUUCAUUAUCAGCACCUUACAGGGAUUGCUUCAACUACCCACGCAAACCAUAUAUACAGGCUAGCCCAUCCACAAGAUUCACACACAUCUGACACCUCCUCACAGAUUACAGAUCUCAUAUCUAAAUUAGCUUUUCCUCAUAAAGAAUUCUGUUUGGUUGAAAGACUUCUAAUGGACCAUCAGAGGCACUUCUCCACAAAUAUUAAAAAUCUUAACAGAGAUUCUGAUUCUCUAAACAGUCGGUCAGAUUUAGCAGAGAUGCUUUUCUUGAAUAUCUCCAUCAGCACCAGAAGCUUUACUAUUCACUUCUACAACAUCAUCAUCCUUCGCUUCCAAAGCUUCUACCAUUUUUUAGAUCACUCAGACAUCGACAAUACCAUUUUUAGUUGUUUCUUCCUCCUUAAGUGAUACUCUACUUUCUAACUCUUUCAACUUUUCUAAAUACAACUUAGCUCUUCCCUGAACUUUAUCUUUCUCAUUUUUUAGCUCCUCAUUUUUCUUUUGCAUAUCCUUCAAUCAAUUAUCCAUCAAUUGAAGUGAUAUGUAAAGCAAAAAUGGGGAGGUAAAAAAUGAAGAAGCUAAAGUUCAGGCAAAAGUAAAGAUGUAUUUGCAAAAGUUCAAAUAGUUGGAAAGUACGGUCUCACUUCAACAAGAACAAGCUGCUAAAAAUUGUGCUAUCAAUGUCUCAUUGAUCCAAAAAAUGGUACAAGAUUUCAAAGCGGAGGACAAUGACAUUGUACAAGUGAAGACUAAAGCUUCUGCUGCUGAUGGAGAUGUUCAGGAAAAACAAUUGUCACCACCUACGCCUCCAUUAGUUAAUUCAGCUGCAAAUGGAAAUGGAAAUGACAGUGGUAAAUGAACAGAUAAAGCUGCAAAUGGAAAGGGAAAUGGCAGUGGCAAAUGAAUAGAUGAAGCUUCACCUUAAUGGAAGAGCAUAGGGUAUUUACAUUGUAUGACAUAACAUUAAUUCAAAGGUAAACACAAACUACCCUUUUAAAUUGCUCUCUCAACCUGUUAAAAUUAUUGUACUAGCUUCACA